This 433-nucleotide ribosomal RNA is filed under the name uncultured bacterium. Its description in RNAcentral is "partial 16S ribosomal RNA". It matches the Rfam family "Bacterial small subunit ribosomal RNA", at positions 29 to 507 of the family's 1533-position model. The record is from RNAcentral.
AACGAACGCUGGCGGCAUGCCUAACACAUGCAAGUCGAACGAGACCUUCGGGUCUAGUGGCGCACGGGUGCGUAACGCGUGGGAACCUGCCCUUAGGUUCGGAAUAACUCCCCGAAAGGGGUGCUAAUACCGGAUAAUGUCUUCGGACCAAAGAUUUAUCGCCUUUGGAUGGGCCCGCGUUGGAUUAGCCAGUUGGUAGGGUAAAAGCCUACCAAGGCGACGAUCCAUAGCUGGGCUGAGAGGAUGAUCAGCCACACUGGGACUGAGACACGGCCCAGACUCCUACGGGUGGCAGCAGUGGGGAAUAUUGGACAAUGGGCGAGAGCCUGAGCUAGCAAUGCCGCGUGAGUGUGUAAGGCCUGAGGAUUGUAAGUCUGUUUUGCCAGGGAUGAUAAUGACGGUACCGGAAGAAUAAGCUCCGGCUAACUCCGUG